RNAcentral lists this ribosomal RNA (280 nucleotides) under uncultured bacterium. RNAcentral's name for it is "partial 16S ribosomal RNA". It matches the Rfam family "Bacterial small subunit ribosomal RNA", at positions 28 to 314 of the family's 1533-position model. The record is from RNAcentral.
GAUUAACGCUGGCGGCGUGCCUAACACAUGCAAGUCGAACGAGGUAGCAAUACCUAGUGGCAGACGGGUGAGUAACGCGUGGUCAACCUACCGUUGAGUGGGGGAGUAACUAGCCGAAGGUUAGCUAAUACCGCAUACGUCUCCGAGGGGCGAUCCCUUCGGCGAUAAAAGGAAGGCAAUCCGCUCGAUGACGGGACCGCGUCCCAUUAGCUAGAUGGUGGGGUAACGGCCUACCAUGGCACCGAUGGGUAGCUGGUUUGAGAGAGCGACCAGCCACACU